Small RNA from Gordonia bronchialis DSM 43247, 68 nucleotides. It matches the Rfam family "ASdes TB sRNA". The record is from Rfam. Lineage: Bacteria; Bacillati; Actinomycetota; Actinomycetes; Mycobacteriales; Gordoniaceae.
AGGGCCGUCGGAUCCACCCCGCGGGUGACCACGAGGUAGUCGCGCAUGACGAUGCCGUGCCGGUUCUC